This is a long non-coding RNA of Chinchilla lanigera (long-tailed chinchilla), 414 nucleotides long. RefSeq lists it as uncharacterized. NCBI's taxonomy places the organism in Eukaryota, Metazoa, Chordata, Mammalia, Rodentia, Chinchillidae. The transcript is spliced from 3 exons. The record is from RefSeq and is a predicted model, not a curated record.
UCAACGAGAUGGGAAGCACAAAAGUUCUCCUGUAGGUUCGGGAAGCUUUGCGUUCAGCUUUGGAUGCAAGGAGUGAUCGAAAGAUAUGAAUCUGGCAUCACGUGACUUCCUGCUCUUUCCUGAAGUCAAAAUGGCCACAAAAGGUAAACAUUUUGAGUCAAUUCAGGGAUGAAGGCGGUCACACCAACAUAACCAAAGACACCUCUGAAGGACAAGUUCUAGAACUGCUUCAGAAAGUGGCAAGAAUGGAGAAGGCCCAUUUCCCCUACAUGGUCACACUGAGAUUAAACGUCUCACCUGAAGCCAAACAUCAGGACAGAGCUGAGCUUUGAACAAGCCUGGCUGGAUGCUACAAUGCCUGUGACCCGUCCGCGGCAUCACACCUGGCUAACGGGAAGCUUUGAGAAUGUGAAA